UCAGAGAAGAGACAUCAGGUGCUUGAACUGGUCUGCUCCUUCCUUUUCCACCCCACGUCAGAGACAGCACUCAGCUGGGCCUUCUAUAAUUGGGUUUUGAGCAGCCCUAGUCUCAAGACUGCUAUAAGAUCCUUGCUUCUCCCUGUAAGCCCCAGUUAAAGCUUCUGUCCAGCUGUCCUGGCCAAGGGCACUUGGACUAAAGACUGGGACUGUUUACAGCUUGAUCCAACUAGUGUGCUCCUGGCAAGAUUGCUGGCUGCCAUGAAGCCCUGUCUCAUCUUAACUCUCCUAAGCAUAGCUGGAGUUGUUCUGGCCAGAGAUUCUAAAGAUGAUGACCUGAACUUACCAGAAGAUUUUACUAUUCCUUACAUGGUCUAUCUGCAGUCCAGUUCAGAACCCUGUGUGGGAUCUCUCAUUCACCCUCAAUGGGUACUGACGGCUGCCCACUGCCCCUUACCUGUCAAAAUCCGACUGGGAGUCUAUCAACCCAGCGUCAGAAAUAAGAAAGAGCAGAUACGGAAUUACUCACAGAUUAUCCCCGCCCCUGAGUUCAAGGCACAGUCACUGGAGAAUGACCUGAUGCUGAUAAAACUCUCCAAGGCUGCUGUACUCAACUCCCAUGUGGGGACCAUAGCCAUAUCUAUGGAGCCCUUAGCACUUAAUGAUUCCUGCUUUAUCCCAACCUGGACUUGGAAUGAAUACAAAA
Molecule: long non-coding RNA, 706 nt
Organism: Mirounga angustirostris (Northern elephant seal)
Lineage: Eukaryota; Metazoa; Chordata; Mammalia; Carnivora; Phocidae
Exons: 3
Source: RefSeq, a predicted model, not a curated record